GAUGAACGCUGGCGGCGUGCUUAACACAUGCAAGUCGAGCGAAGCAGUUAAGAAGAUUCUUCGGAUGAUCCUUAACUGACUGAGCGGCGGACGGGUGAGUAACGCGUGGGUGACCUGCCCCAUACCGGGGGAUAACAGCUGGAAACGGCUGCUAAUACCGCAUAAGCGCACAGAGCUGCAUGGCUCGGUGUGAAAAACUCCGGUGGUAUGGGAUGGGCCCGCGUCUGAUUAGGCAGUUGGCGGGGUAACGGCCCACCAAACCGACGAUCAGUAGCCGGCCUGAGAGGGCGACCGGCCACAUUGGGACUGAGACACGGCCCAAACUCCUACGGGAGGCAGCAGUGGGGAAUAUUGCACAAUGGGGGAAACCCUGAUGCAGCGACGCCGCGUGAGCGAAGAAGUAUUUCGGUAUGUAAAGCUCUAUCAGCAGGGAAGAUAAUGACGGUACCUGACUAAGAAGCCCCGGCUAACUACGUGCCAGCAGCCGCGGUAAUACGUAGGGGGCAAGCGUUAUCCGGAUUUACUGGGUGUAAAGGGAGCGUAGACGGCAAGGCAAGUCUGAUGUGAAAACCCAGGGCUUAACCCUGGGACUGCAUUGGAAACUGUCUGGCUCGAGUGCCGGAGAGGUAAGCGGAAUUCCUAGUGUAGCGGUGAAAUGCGUAGAUAUUAGGAAGAACACCAGUGGCGAAGGCGGCUUACUGGACGGUAACUGACGUUGAGG
Molecule: ribosomal RNA, 721 nt
Filed under: uncultured Lachnospiraceae bacterium
Lineage: Bacteria; Bacillati; Bacillota; Clostridia; Lachnospirales; Lachnospiraceae
Description: bacterial SSU rRNA
Rfam family: Bacterial small subunit ribosomal RNA
Source: RNAcentral